RNAcentral lists this ribosomal RNA (2927 nucleotides) under Bacillus velezensis. RNAcentral describes it as "23S ribosomal RNA". It matches the Rfam family "Bacterial large subunit ribosomal RNA". Lineage: Bacteria; Bacillati; Bacillota; Bacilli; Caryophanales; Bacillaceae. The record is from RNAcentral.
GGUUAAGUUAGAAAGGGCGCACGGUGGAUGCCUUGGCACUAGGAGCCGAUGAAGGACGGGACGAACACCGAUAUGCUUCGGGGAGCUGUAAGCAAGCUUUGAUCCGGAGAUUUCCGAAUGGGGAAACCCACCACUCGUAAUGGAGUGGUAUCCAUAUCUGAAUACAUAGGAUAUGAGAAGGCAGACCCGGGGAACUGAAACAUCUAAGUACCCGGAGGAAGAGAAAGCAAAUGCGAUUCCCUGAGUAGCGGCGAGCGAAACGGGACCAGCCCAAACCAAGAGGCUUGCCUCUUGGGGUUGUAGGACACUCUGUACGGAGUUACAAAGGAACGAGGUAGAUGAAGAGGUCUGGAAAGGCCCGCCAUAGGAGGUAACAGCCCUGUAGUCAAAACUUCGUUCUCUCCUGAGUGGAUCCUGAGUACGGCGGAACACGUGAAAUUCCGUCGGAAUCCGGGAGGACCAUCUCCCAAGGCUAAAUACUCCCUAGUGACCGAUAGUGAACCAGUACCGUGAGGGAAAGGUGAAAAGCACCCCGGAAGGGGAGUGAAAGAGAUCCUGAAACCGUGUGCCUACAAGUAGUCAGAGCCCGUUAACGGGUGAUGGCGUGCCUUUUGUAGAAUGAACCGGCGAGUUACGAUCCCGUGCAAGGUUAAGCAGAAGAUGCGGAGCCGCAGCGAAAGCGAGUCUGAAUAGGGCGGAUUGAGUACGUGGUCGUAGACCCGAAACCAGGUGAUCUACCCAUGUCCAGGGUGAAGUUCAGGUAACACUGAAUGGAGGCCCGAACCCACGCACGUUGAAAAGUGCGGGGAUGAGGUGUGGGUAGGGGUGAAAUGCCAAUCGAACCUGGAGAUAGCUGGUUCUCUCCGAAAUAGCUUUAGGGCUAGCCUCAAGGUAAGAGUCUCGGAGGUAGAGCACUGAUUGGACUAGGGGCCCCUACCGGGUUACCGAAUUCAGUCAAACUCCGAAUGCCGAUGACUUAUCCUUGGGAGUCAGACUGCGAGUGAUAAGAUCCGUAGUCGAAAGGGAAACAGCCCAGACCGCCAGCUAAGGUCCCAAAGUAUACGUUAAGUGGAAAAGGAUGUGGAGUUGCUUAGACAACCAGGAUGUUGGCUUAGAAGCAGCCACCAUUUAAAGAGUGCGUAAUAGCUCACUGGUCGAGUGACUCUGCGCCGAAAAUGUACCGGGGCUAAACGUAUCACCGAAGCUGCGGACUGUUCUUCGAACAGUGGUAGGAGAGCGUUCUAAGGGCUGUGAAGCAAGACCGGAAGGACUUGUGGAGCGCUUAGAAGUGAGAAUGCCGGUAUGAGUAGCGAAAGAGGGGUGAGAAUCCCCUCCACCGAAUGCCUAAGGUUUCCUGAGGAAGGCUCGUCCGCUCAGGGUUAGUCGGGACCUAAGCCGAGGCCGAAAGGCGUAGGCGAUGGAUAACAGGUUGAUAUUCCUGUACCACCUCCUCACCAUUUGAGCAAUGGGGGACGCAGGAGGAUAGGGUAAGCGCGGUAUUGGAUAUCCGCGUCCAAGCAGUUAGGCUGGGAAAUAGGCAAAUCCGUUUCCCGCGAAGGCUGAGCUGUGAUGGCGAGCGAAUUAUAGUAGCGAAGUUCCUGAUUCCACACUGCCAAGAAAAGCCUCUAGCGAGGUGAGAGGUGCCCGUACCGCAAACCGACACAGGUAGGCGAGGAGAGAAUCCUAAGGUGAUCGAGAGAACUCUCGUUAAGGAACUCGGCAAAAUGACCCCGUAACUUCGGGAGAAGGGGUGCUCUGUUAGGGUGCAAGCCCGAGAGAGCCGCAGUGAAUAGGCCCAGGCGACUGUUUAGCAAAAACACAGGUCUCUGCGAAGCCGUAAGGCGAAGUAUAGGGGCUGACGCCUGCCCGGUGCUGGAAGGUUAAGAGGAGCGCUUAGCGUAAGCGAAGGUGCGAAUUGAAGCCCCAGUAAACGGCGGCCGUAACUAUAACGGUCCUAAGGUAGCGAAAUUCCUUGUCGGGUAAGUUCCGACCCGCACGAAAGGCGCAACGAUCUGGGCACUGUCUCAACGAGAGACUCGGUGAAAUUAUAGUACCUGUGAAGAUGCAGGUUACCCGCGACAGGACGGAAAGACCCCGUGGAGCUUUACUGCAGCCUGAUAUUGAAUGUUGGUACAGCUUGUACAGGAUAGGUAGGAGCCUUGGAAACCGGAGCGCCAGCUUCGGUGGAGGCAUCGGUGGGAUACUACCCUGGCUGUAUUGACCUUCUAACCCGCCGCCCUUAUCGGGCGGGGAGACAGUGUCAGGUGGGCAGUUUGACUGGGCGGUCGCCUCCUAAAAGGUAACGGAGGCGCCCAAAGGUUCCCUCAGAAUGGUUGGAAAUCAUUCGCAGAGUGUAAAGGCACAAGGGAGCUUGACUGCGAGACCUACAAGUCGAGCAGGGACGAAAGUCGGGCUUAGUGAUCCGGUGGUUCCGCAUGGAAGGGCCAUCGCUCAACGGAUAAAAGCUACCCCGGGGAUAACAGGCUUAUCUCCCCCAAGAGUCCACAUCGACGGGGAGGUUUGGCACCUCGAUGUCGGCUCAUCGCAUCCUGGGGCUGUAGUCGGUCCCAAGGGUUGGGCUGUUCGCCCAUUAAAGCGGUACGCGAGCUGGGUUCAGAACGUCGUGAGACAGUUCGGUCCCUAUCCGUCGCGGGCGCAGGAAAUUUGAGAGGAGCUGUCCUUAGUACGAGAGGACCGGGAUGGACGCACCGCUGGUGUACCAGUUGUUCUGCCAAGGGCAUCGCUGGGUAGCUAUGUGCGGACGGGAUAAGUGCUGAAAGCAUCUAAGCAUGAAGCCCCCUCAAGAUGAGAUUUCCCAUUCCGCAAGGAAGUAAGAUCCCUGAAAGAUGAUCAGGUUGAUAGGUCUGAGGUGGAAGUGUGGCGACACAUGGAGCUGACAGAUACUAAUCGAUCGAGGACUUAACCAA